CCUACGGGAGGCAGCAGUGAGGAAUAUUGGUCAAUGGGCGCGAGCCUGAACCAGCCAAGUAGCGUGAAGGAUGACGGCCCUACGGGUUGUAAACUUCUUUUAUAAAGGAAUAAAGUGAGGCACGUGUGCCUUUUUGUAUGUACUUUAUGAAUAAGGAUCGGCUAACUCCGUUCCAGCAGCCGCGGUAAUACGGAGGAUCCGAGUGUUAUCCGGAUUUAUUGGGGUUAAAGGGAGCGUAGAUGGGUUGUUAAGUCAGGUGGGAAAGUUGGCGGCUCAACCCUAAAAUUGCAAUUGAAACUGGCAGUCUUGAGUACAGUUGAGGUAGGCGGAAUUCGUGGUGUAGCGGUGAAAUGCUUAGAUAUCACGAAGAACCCCGAUUGCGAAGGCAGCUUACUAAACUGCCACUGACAUUGAUGCUCGAAAGUGUGGGUAUCAAACAGGAUUAGAUACCCCAGUAGUC
This 460-nucleotide ribosomal RNA is filed under the name uncultured bacterium. Its description in RNAcentral is "partial 16S ribosomal RNA". It matches the Rfam family "Bacterial small subunit ribosomal RNA", at positions 338 to 795 of the family's 1533-position model. The record is from RNAcentral.